UACGGAGGGAGCUAGCGUUGUUCGGAAUUACUGGGCGUAAAGCGCGCGUAGGCGGCUUUGUAAGUUAGAGGUGAAAGCCCGGAGCUCAACUCCGGAACUGCCUUUAAGACUGCAUCGCUUGAAUCCAGGAGAGGUGAGUGGAAUCCGAGUGUAGAGGUGAAAUUCGUAGAUAUUCGGAAGAACACCAGUGGCGAAGGCGGCUCACUGGACUGGUAUUGACGCUGAGGUGCGAAAGCGUGGGGAGCAAACAGG
This 252-nucleotide ribosomal RNA is filed under the name uncultured bacterium. RNAcentral's name for it is "partial 16S ribosomal RNA". It matches the Rfam family "Bacterial small subunit ribosomal RNA", at positions 524 to 776 of the family's 1533-position model. The record is from RNAcentral.